CCCGCAGGAUCUUCUUCGCCGGCGCCGGGGACUUUUUCUCCGGCGCCCGCUCGGGGGUCUUCACCGGCACUUUGCGGGUGUUGAACCCCGGGGCCGUGAGGGUCGUAGAGGCCGCGACGUUGAGUGUGUCUUCACUGGCUCGCUCCCAUCCAUUCGACUAGGAGGGGACUGCUAUGGAUUUUUGCGGACACUUUGUGCAUCAGGUUGUUGCGGUAGUUCUAUCCUCCAUCGAGGGAUUCGUGCUCUGACACCACUGAAGUGUCCCUUCUCAGCAUCUGUGCAUCAGUUUGGUAAAUCAUUGAAAAUGCCACCACGUACGAAACAGCUUGCUCGGCGCAAGUCGUUGAGGUCUGCUUCUAAGGAAUCCUCUUCUUAUGGUCAGAUGAGUUUGAAAAAGGCCAAGCAGAUUAAGCCACCUCCUACACGCAGAGUGGAUCUUCAGUUUUCUUCACUCCGUUUUUGGAAAGUUGUUGCUAAUCUUGAUAUUGAGCAGAAGAAAAUCAUCUCCAAAUAUGAUUUUCAAAAUAUACUGCCAGUUUCAAGGUUCAAGGUCCCCGAUUGUUUCUUGGAAUGGCUAAUGAGUCACACUUGUCCUUUAUCAUCUGAAAUCAUUGUUGGAGGUAAUCAUAUUACCAUUACCAAGUCCAUGGUGACCAAGGUUCUUGGAAUUCCUCAAGGUAGUGAACCUGUUGUUACACAGAGCAAGU
Long non-coding RNA from Panicum virgatum (switchgrass), 707 nucleotides. RefSeq lists it as uncharacterized. The record is from RefSeq and is a predicted model, not a curated record. The transcript has 4 exons. Lineage: Eukaryota; Viridiplantae; Streptophyta; Magnoliopsida; Poales; Poaceae.